UAAUACGAGGGGUGCUAGCGUUGUCCGGAUUUACUGGGCGUAAAGGGUACGUAGGCGUUUUAAAAAGUUGAAUGUUAAAUAUCUUAGCUUAACUAAGAAAGUGCAUUCAAAACUGUUAAAAUAGAGUUUGAGAGAGGAACGCAGAAUUCAUGGUGGAGCGGUGACAUGCGUAGAUAUCAUGAGGAAAGUCAAAUGCGAAGGCAGCCUUCUGGCUCAAAACUGACGCUGAGGUACGAAAGCGUGGGGAGCGAACAGGAUUAGAUACCCUGGUAGUCCACGCCGUAAACGAUGAGUAUUUGGUGCUGGGGGAUUCGACCCUUUCAGUGCCGUAGCUAACGCGAUAAAUACUCCGCCUGGGGACUACGAUCGCAAGAUUG
This 377-nucleotide ribosomal RNA is filed under the name uncultured Deferribacteraceae bacterium. RNAcentral describes it as "bacterial SSU rRNA". It matches the Rfam family "Bacterial small subunit ribosomal RNA", at positions 521 to 896 of the family's 1533-position model. Lineage: Bacteria; Pseudomonadati; Deferribacterota; Deferribacteres; Deferribacterales; Deferribacteraceae. The record is from RNAcentral.